GAUGAAGAACGUAGCGAACGUGCGAAACGUAAUGUGAAUUGCAGAAUUCAGUGAAUCAUCGAAUCUUUGAACGCAUCUUGCGCUCCUUGGUAUUCCGAGGAGCAUGCCUGUUUGAGUGUCGUGAAUACUCUCAACUUCAACCCUUUUUUCGGAAAGGGAGGAAGGUUGGACUUGGGUGUUUGUUGAAGUGCGAGCUUCGACUCAUCCUAAAUGCAUUAGCGAUCUGCCUCGAUCACACACAAUGUGAUAAUUAAAACUAAAGCAUUGUUUAAUGAUCAAGUCGAGACUACUUCUAACUGUCGCAAGACAAUAACGUGCAUACAUUUGUGCAUGUCAUUUGACCUCAAAUCAGGUAGGACUACCCGCUGAACUUAAGCAUAUCAAUAAGCGGAGGA
This 395-nucleotide unclassified non-coding RNA is filed under the name soil metagenome. Its description in RNAcentral is "partial contains 5.8S ribosomal RNA, internal transcribed spacer 2, and large subunit ribosomal RNA". The stretch from base 1 to 121 matches the Rfam family "5.8S ribosomal RNA", at positions 35 to 154 of the family's 154-position model. The record is from RNAcentral.